GACGAACGCUGGCGGCGUGCUUAACACAUGCAAGUCGAACGGAAAGGCCCUGCUUUUGUGGGGUGCUCGAGUGGCGAACGGGUGAGUAACACGUGAGUAACCUGCCCUUGACUUUGGGAUAACUUCAGGAAACUGGGGCUAAUACCGGAUAGGAGCUCCUGCUGCAUGGUGGGGGUUGGAAAGUUUCGGCGGUUGGGGAUGGACUCGCGGCUUAUCAGCUUGUUGGUGGGGUAGUGGCUUACCAAGGCUUUGACGGGUAGCCGGCCUGAGAGGGUGACCGGCCACAUUGGGACUGAGUUACGGCCCAGACUCCUACGGGAGGCAGCAGUGUGGAAUAUUGCACAAUGGGCGGAAGCCUGAUGCAGCAACGCCGCGUGCGGGAUGACGGCCUUCGGGUUGUAAACCGCUUUCGCCUGUGACGAAGCGUGAGUGACGGUAAUGGGUAAAGAAGCACCGGCUAACUACGUG
Molecule: ribosomal RNA, 468 nt
Filed under: uncultured bacterium
Lineage: Bacteria
Description: partial 16S ribosomal RNA
Rfam family: Bacterial small subunit ribosomal RNA
Source: RNAcentral